Molecule: ribosomal RNA, 497 nt
Filed under: uncultured bacterium
Lineage: Bacteria
Description: partial 16S ribosomal RNA
Rfam family: Bacterial small subunit ribosomal RNA
Source: RNAcentral
GAUGAACGCUGGCGGCGUGCCUAAUACAUGCAAGUCGAGCGAACGGACGAGAAGCUUGCUUCUCUGAUGUUAGCGGCGGACGGGUGAGUAACACGUGGAUAACCUACCUAUAAGACUGGGAUAACUUCGGGAAACCGGAGCUAAUACCGGAUAAUAUUUUGAACCGCAUGGUUCAAAAGUGAAAGACGGUCUUGCUGUCACUUAUAGCUUGAUCCGCGCUGCAUUAGCUAGUUGGUAAGGUAACGGCUUACCAAGGCAACGAUGCAUAGCCGACCUGAGAGGGUGAUCGGCCACACUGGAACUGAGACACGGUCCAGACGCCUACGGGAGGGAGCAGUAGGGAAUCUUCCGCAAUGGGCGAAAGCCUGACGGAGCAACGGCGCGUGAGUGAUGAAGGUCUUCGGAUCGUAAAACUCUGUUAUUAGGGAAGAACAUAUGUGUAAGUAACUGUGCACAUCUUGACGGUACCUAAUCAGAAAGCCACGGCUAACUACGUG